This 72-nucleotide transfer RNA is filed under the name Blepharipoda liberata. RNAcentral's name for it is "tRNA-Asn". Lineage: Eukaryota; Metazoa; Arthropoda; Malacostraca; Decapoda; Blepharipodidae. The record is from RNAcentral.
UUAGUAGAAGCCAAAUUAGAGGCUUAUCACUGUUAAUGAUAUCAAUGAAUAUAUAGUAUAUUUCCUACUAAU